GCCGCUGCAGGGUUGCACAUGUUGAAUGAACCUGAACUCGGCUGCUGACAGUGGUUUUCUGUUAUUAUCUGGCUUUUCAGCCAAAAUAUAUCAAAAUAACCUCAAUUCUGAGUGACAGCUGAAGAUGAAAUGAAGAUCACUGUAAAUGAAUGAAAAGAGCCGUUUCACAAACUCAUUUGUCAAGCCACACAAAAGUUUAUUGAGCCCUGUGAAACCAAGCUUAGGAAAACAGUGGCGAGGAAACUCUCCUUUUCAUACACAGAGAAGGAUUACAGAAACAGCAAUCAGCGGGGUUCGUGAUGUGCAUCAGAGGUUGUACAAGCCAAAGUGAGCCUGCAACCAGGACAGCAUAAUGGAAGAAGAGUUGAGUGAGUUCCAGGGAAGCAGUGGAAGUUUCACUCCUGCGGGGGAAAGUUAACUGCGGUGUUAUGGAGGAUGACGAGCUCCUCUUGUUAAAGCCAAGACACCACGAGGUGGUUGCUGAAUGACACACAGACAUUUGUUUUCACCUCAGGCUGUGAAUUGUGUGUAUGUGUCACUGUGAGAGAAACUCCCUGUAAAGUGAUACCAACCAGGCUCGAUCUGUGCCGCUAUCCAGAAAAGAAAAGGCGGCAGAGAGGGAAAGAGACACAUAUGUUUUCUUUUCUUUUUAAUGACAGACAGACAUAAACACUGACUCAUCAUGAGUGACAAUAAUUGUUGAACUAACGUUCUGUGUAUACAAUGGAGUUCUGUAUGAGCAAUGUGAUUUGCUGAUGUAAAGAUGGAGAAAUGCAAUGUCACCACAGCUAUGAAGUCUAAACACGAAAAGCUGAAGGUGCUGUCAUGGUUUAGUCGAACAGAAAAUACAUUCUGAAGGAAACCCAAAUGCCACCCAGGUUAUGUUUUCUGUUAAAGAGGCAAUUUGUAAGAUAAGGCAAGAAUUACAAUUCUUAUUUUUAUUCAAAUGAACUAACAUUGUCAAAAGAAUGUGAGGAAAGAACAGUGUUGAUGUUACACAAAAGACGUAUGUAUUGUGUUGCAGUGAUGUCUACUGAACUAAGCUUGCUAACAAGCUUGCCUCAGCCUGUCUUGACCUGUCAUACCACUUUUCCACCUUAAGAGGCGAUAGUAUGGUACCCUGCUUUAGUUUCAGCUGGGUGUUCACUCAGUGGUAAGUUUGCCAAGUUCCACCAGCUCUCUUAGCUUUGAGUAUAAGAAAUGGACUAAAAAGCCUCACAAAAUGUCAAGAAAAUCAAAACUUUUCCUUUCCAAACUGAAAAAUAUAACAGUACAACUUCUGAAUUCAAGUUUCUCUCUAACCCACUGAAACACAGAAUGGUUUGUCUUUCAACAAUCAGCCCCUGUUUCGCAGAAAUAAAUAAAGAGUAAGAUGUGAAAAUAUUCUGGCUACAAAGAUGUAG
Molecule: long non-coding RNA, 1403 nt
Organism: Acanthopagrus latus (yellowfin seabream)
Lineage: Eukaryota; Metazoa; Chordata; Actinopteri; Spariformes; Sparidae
Exons: 3
Source: RefSeq, a predicted model, not a curated record